RNAcentral lists this ribosomal RNA (373 nucleotides) under uncultured bacterium. RNAcentral's name for it is "bacterial SSU rRNA". It matches the Rfam family "Bacterial small subunit ribosomal RNA", at positions 521 to 896 of the family's 1533-position model. The record is from RNAcentral.
UAAUACGAAGGGGACUAGCGUUGUUCGGAUUUACUGGGCGUAAAGCGCGCGUAGGCGGAUCACUAAGUCAGGGGUGAAAUCCCGAGGCUUAACCUCGGAACUGCCUUUGAUACUGGUGAUCUGGAGAUUGGGAGAGGUUGGUGGAAUUCCGAGUGUAGAGGUGAAAUUCGUAGAUAUUCGGAGGAACACCAGAAGCGAAGGCGGCCAACUGGCCCAAUACUGACGCUGAGGCGCGAAAGCGUGGGGAGCAAACAGGAUUAGAUACCCUGGUAGUCCACGCCCUAAACGAUGAAUACUUGGUGUUGGUUCUUUUGAAUCAGUGCCGAAGGUAACCUGUUAAGUAUUCCACCUGGGGAGUACGCUCGCAAGGGUG